AUGCACCAGCAACACAACAGCCUGUUUACAUGCAGCCUGGAGCCCCCCUGGCACUAUAACCAACAGCAGCAACCCCAACAACAACAGUAUGCCACUGGAACUGCUGCACCUGCUGAUGCUAGUAGCUACAAUUACAGCCAGUCUGCUACUCAUGCUUCACAAGGGUAUGGUGAUUCUACGUACUCUCAGCAGAGUGGCGGGCAGCAAGCUUAUGAUUACUCUGGUUAUCAGACCCAAGGGCUGUCUUACUCGCAGCAGCCUGGAUAUGACCAGCACGACUAUGGGGCAUCGAUCAGCUGCUAA
Molecule: ribosomal RNA, 303 nt
Filed under: Triticum aestivum (bread wheat)
Lineage: Eukaryota; Viridiplantae; Streptophyta; Magnoliopsida; Poales; Poaceae
Description: partial small subunit ribosomal RNA
Source: RNAcentral